RNAcentral lists this unclassified non-coding RNA (240 nucleotides) under soil metagenome. RNAcentral's name for it is "partial contains 5.8S ribosomal RNA, internal transcribed spacer 2, and large subunit ribosomal RNA". The record is from RNAcentral.
AAGACUAUAGACCUGCGGAGUACCUGCGGAGGGAUCAUUAUUGAGCUGAAACUCUUUUGGCUGGAUUGCUGUUGUUGCUGGCCCCUUUGGGGGGGGGCAAUGUGUACACACAAACUCUGGUCAUUUUAUGUUUCUUCUUCUGUUCCACCUGUGCACUGCAUGUAGACACACACACUCUGUGUCUAUGAUAUGUUACACACACACAAUCAUACAUAUGGGCAUAGUAUUGCAUGUAUAACA